Molecule: ribosomal RNA, 498 nt
Filed under: uncultured bacterium
Lineage: Bacteria
Description: partial 16S ribosomal RNA
Rfam family: Bacterial small subunit ribosomal RNA
Source: RNAcentral
GAUGAACGCUGGCGGCGUGGAUAAGGCAUGCAAGUCGAACGGUAACAGGUCUUCGGAUGCUGACGAGUGGCGAACGGGUGAGUAAUACAUCGGAACGUGCCCGAUCGUGGGGGAUAACGAAGCGAAAGCUUUGCUAAUACCGCAUAAGAUCUACGGAUGAAAGCAGGGGACCGCAAGGCCUUGCGCGAACGGAGCGGCCGAUGGCAGAUUAGGUAGUUGGUGGGAUAAAAGCUUACCAAGCCGACGAUCUGUAGCUGGUCUGAGAGGACGACCAACCACACUGGGACUGAGACACGGCCCAGACUCCUACGGUAGGCAGCAGUGGGGAAUUUUGGACAAUGGGCGAAAGCCUGAUUCAGCCAUGCCGCGUGCAGGAUGAAGGCCUUCGGGUUGUAAACUGCUUUUGUACGGAACGAAAAGACUCUUUCUAAUAAAGAGGGUCCAUGACGGUACCGUAAGAAUAAGCACCGGCUAACUACGUGCCAGCAGCCGCGGUAA